This 5041-nucleotide long non-coding RNA is filed under the name Brassica rapa (field mustard). RNAcentral's name for it is "long non-coding RNA (BRAP_LNC000289)". The record is from RNAcentral. Lineage: Eukaryota; Viridiplantae; Streptophyta; Magnoliopsida; Brassicales; Brassicaceae.
GUAGAUAAAAUAGAAUAAGGGUUCAGGGGGUUCUUCUCUAUGGUGAGAGAGAUGGAUCCUUCUCCCUUUACAAAGUAUCAAAUCACAAGUCUCCAACUCUAAGGUCUGGUUUCUUCUCCCAAAAACAGCGUAGAAUAAUAAGGAAAAACAGAAAAAGAAGAUAUAUCAAAACCACAUGCGGCUGGGAGAGAAAAUAGAGAGAUUAGGGCAAAUCCCGAAAUAGGUUGUUGUUUCCUUAAAAAUCUCUGCCGCUGGAACACUCCCUCGGAACAGUCACUCGGGUUGCUCCGCUAUCCGGAACAGUCAUCAAGACUGUUCUGCGUGAAAAUCACCAAAUUGCACUGUCUUCUGCCUCUUUUGUUCCAGCUGGUUCAUCUCUCAUCCAAUGCAACUCCAGACCUGUAAUGACUCGAAAAGGACUAGGAAGACUCGAUAAAGACUUGAAAACCAAUUUAAAAGCAUAUAUACAAGAUGUAUAAAACACCAUAUAUCAAUUCCCCCAGACUUAGAUCCUUGUUUGUCCUCAAACAAUAUCAAGUAUCAAGAACAGGGAGAAAGGUUUGAAAGUGUGGAAACUCUCCUAUUCUCAGCAACCAUACUUUAACCACGAAUCUCUGAACCAUACAAGCAGUAAAACUAGGACAACACACCCUUACCGGAACCCCACUGACUGCUGUUCAAAAAUCGGCUCCAUACUCUUCAUCUCAAACCUGAAAAAGCAACACUAUCGAGACAGAACUCCCUACAUUCAUUUAAGAGUAGCGUGAGCUUCUCAUCAUAGGCAUCAUUCAGGGUAGACGGUCUAGGUGUGGAACAGGCUAUUUAAUGGUGGAGUUAAGAGUGUUUAGGGGCUACCAUUUCAUUGAAGAGGAUGCAGGAUAUCACACAAAAUGGCAAGAGAGGAUAGAUCCAUUGAUGUCCACAGCCUCUACUCGUUUUUGCUCUAUCUGGUGCGACUGUUCUGAUGACGGAACAUGCAACUGAUUGUUCUGCUUUCUACUUUCCUCUACACACUCUUCAAUACUUGGUACCAACUUCUUGCUCGACCUUUCCAGUGGCUCCAUGUUUCUUUUCUUUCUUCCCCUUCUCCAUCACAUUAAUCUCGUUUUUUUUUUUUUUUUUUUUUUUUUUUUUUUUUUUUUUUGAAGACUGAUAUGGUGAUGUGACGAAGAAGGAGGUAAUACAUGAUCGUUCUGAGUGCCACUGGUGGUUCUGAUUUUGCAACCAUUCUGGUUCUCCACCCCUGCUCUUGCGCAGUUCAUUGGUUAUGGAGCAGUUGCUCCCUUAAUCUGCUUGUUCUCCUUUCUUACUGAAUUUCUGUAGCAGUAACGAGUAGCAGGCUGCGUUGAUCCUUUCCUCUCCGACCUUUUUGCACAUAUCUGCACAUAUGACACUGAAAAACAAAUGCAUGAAGGUGGAAUAAAGGCUAAGGUGCAGGGUGGGAACUAGCUAAAGAUGAGCUAGCUACUCAGGAUCAGCAAGAUGGAUAAAAAGGGUAAGAAGUCCUGAGUGUGUUCUCGUUUCCCUGAUCUAAUGCCCAUAACAAGAAGAAUUUCAGUCAAGAUUAGGUUCAAGUAAGGUGGAGUUAAGUCUACCCAGUGUAACCUGAUUGGCUGAGAACUUCUGGAGAAUCAAGUGAGAUAUGUCAGGGUGUUCCAGGUCCACAUGUGUGUCUUUCGCCACUGCUAAGGUCACUGAAUAAGAUAACUAAAGCACGAGGUGGUCAGUGAUCAACACAGAAUAAGGUCCUAAUUCCCACAAAGUUUUGACUGACUCAAUAAAAACUGACUCAAAUUGACCCAAAAGAAAAACAAAAGAAAGAAACGAGUUAGUAAACGACGAAAACCCUCUCCCAGACUUACUUCACAACGUCCCUGGUGUGAAAAUAAAUCAGAGAGAAGGAGAAAACAAAAUUUUUUUUUUUUUUUUUGGUCGAGAUACUUACCUGAGUGGAGCAGGCGCUCCAUGAAAAUUCUGGGUGUUCUAUCGUCAGAUGAUCGCCUGGAACAACCGCUCUUUUCAGGGGGUAGGUUGUUCCGUUUCUGCAACCCAGAAUUUUUGAAGUAUCUCGAAUUUUUUUUUGCUUUUUGACCUGAAACUCAAUAAACUAAAACGAAAAAUGAGUAAACAAAAACAAAACCAAGUUAUAUUUACACUUACCAGUGGGUUGCCUCCCACCAAGCGCUUGGUUUAAGUCUCUAGCUUGACUUGGUGACUGGGAUCAGUCGGGUUGAGCAGGAGGGCCUGUUCCAAAACAAGCUCCACAAUCAGACAUGUUCAGCUUCAAAACCCUGCUCAACAAUCCUUUCACAGCAGCUUCCCCUUUCUCCUUCAGCUCAUGUGUGAGAAUAGCUCUGACUUUAGAGAACGGUUUAAAGGUACCUUUGCACUUUACCUCAUACUCAAUGGAGUUCUCAUCACACUUGAGAGGUAUCAAAGUCAUUGUAGGAUCUCCUUUGACCCUUUUCUUCUGGACUUUCUGUUUCACCCUUGAAUUCCCUCUGAUUUUAGUAAGAUCAGUGCAUGGAUCUUCAUCAGAUAACAGCCUGCUCUCACCCUUAUCACCAUGCUCCUUCUCUGGAACAACCUUCAGCUUUUCUACAUCAAACAUUGAGAUGCGAGAGGCGUGUGAUGAGGAAGAUCUGGUGGGUACAGCCUUGUAGAAAACUUUCUUGUUGAUGUUGGAGAAGCAGACUCUCUUCUUGGGCAUAUCGAUGGUUGCUCCAACAGUAGCCAUGAAUGUCCUUCCAAAUAUUAAAGGCAUCUCAUGAUCCUUGUUCAUCUCAACAACUUGAAACUCAGCAGGAACAAUGCAUUCCCCUACUUGAACAUGAAGGCUGCGGAUGGUUCCAUAUGGGACUGCUCUGGAAGAGUUUGCAAAGGUCAGGGUCAACUGAGAACGCUCAACAUCAGCAAUGCCCAAAUCGUAUACAAUAGCCUUUGAGAUGAGAUUCACACAAGAACCAGAGUCACAAAGAGCGUCCUUGAAGGUUGUUCCUGCAAUGGAACAUGGGAAAACAAACUUUCCAGGAUCAUCAACCUUAGGCAAUAACUUCAGUGCUGGCGUAGACAGUGCUCUAGUAUAGAGGACCUUGAUCUCCUCUUGAGUCUCUCUACAGUGUUUAAAGAACUGGAGCAAUGGACGAAUCUGCAGAGCAUCUUCGAAUGCAAGUUCUUUAGGAAGCCUUCUCACCAUCUUGUUAAAACCUAUCAGCUGCUCUUCACUAAUGGGAUCCAUCAGAUGUCUAGGUGGAAUUGGAUAGGGAACCUUGGGAACAUAGACUCGAGAUGGUGGAGUCUCAGCAGGUUCGCUAGGAGCAGUCACUCCAGAGCUAGCAGACUGCUCUGCUCUCUCUUCUGCACCUGGAGCAGUCUCAGCGAACGGCUGCUCUAUUGCAUUACAGUGCUCAGUCCUAGGAUUUUUAUCAGUUCUUCCAGGGAGCGUCUCUUGUUGCCUCUUGACACUCUCAGCUGUUUGAGCAAGCUGAACAUCGAUCUUUCUCAUAUGGAUCGCAAGAUUGUCAUACUUGUUAUUCAGCUCAGUGAACAUGUUGCCCAUCCUGGUGUCAAUUUCUGUGGUUACCUGAUUCAACACCUUGGCCUGAACCUGCUGACCCUGCAACAGCUGUUGCAUCAUCAUACCCAGACCUUGCAGCUCAUCUGGUUGACUGUUCUCGUUAGCUGGAACAGCUUGCUGAUUGCUCUGCGGUUGUCGCUUGUUCUGGUUCUGAAUAUGUCCGGCCGUAGCUUGCUCCAUGCUGAAGACGUGCCCUUGGUUGUUUUUCAGUAGCUGAUCAACCUUGGCAGUCAGCUCAUCUAUUUUCUGGGUGUCAGAACUGUUCCCUUUCAUGGAGCAAUCACUCUCGUCUUUCUUAUUAGAUGAGCUAGCAGCCAUGUUCUCAAUCAGCUUAAACGCUCCAUCAGUGGUUUGAGUCAUGAAGUCUUGCGUGUAUACGCACACCAAAUAACCUAAUGUGCACACUACCACAAUCGAAUGGUAUGUCGAUGUAGCACUUUAGGAUCGAAUCCACAGAGACCAACUAUUACACUUUAUCUUAAUGGGAUCAAUAUCAAGCUAAAACAAUAUGAGGGUUUUAAAGUUGAUUUCGUAACAAGCAAGUAAAAAGAUUAAUUAAAGAUUUCAGAUGAUUAAAAUGCUAGCCUAGGGUGGUUUGGUCGGGUGUUAAGCAAGUGUGAGCCAAACAAUUAUUCAAGUUUAAUUAAGAGCAAGUCUAGAACUCGGAUCACUCAAGUAGAACAGCCCACUGUCGUGGUACUGCUCCCUAUGCUGAUCGAUCUUGAUACCUAAACUCUCGUUUGGAUCAAGAUGCGACAGUAAGCAAUAGAGGUCAAAUCCGAUAUGUUCACAAAACACCCUAACAUCUACUUUCGCUGGUUAGGGAUGCAAUGCUCAUUCAAGUUAUGUCUAGCAACCUAUAACACUUUUGAUGAAUAGAUUAAACCUAGAAUCAGACACUAAGUGGUUAACUUGAUGCAAGCCUUAAGAACAACAAUGAAUGAAGACAAUCGAUUUAUAACUUAUUUAUGUCAAGCUCACAGAUCUAACACCCUAACACCCUAGACUAAGCAAGCUGACUACUCAGCCAUGGAGCAAGAAAACACAGAGACAGAGACUGAAUAAAACAUGUGUAGAUAAAAUAGAAUAAGGGUUCAGGGGGUUCUUCUCUAUGGUGAGAGAGAUGGAUCCUUCUCCCUUUACAAAGUAUCAAAUCACAAGUCUCCAACUCUAAGGUCUGGUUUCUUCUCCCAAAAACAGCGUAGAAUAAUAAGGAAAAACAGAAAAAGAAGAUAUAUCAAAACCACAGGCGGCUGGGAGAGAAAAUAGAGAGAUUAGGGCAAAUCCCGAAAUAGGUUGUUGUUUCCUUAAAAAUCUCUGCCGCUGGAACACUCCCUCGGAACAGUCACUCGGGUUGCUCCGCUAUCCGGAACAGUCAUCAAGACUGUUCUGCGUGAAAAUCACCAAAUUGCACUGUCUUCUGCCUCUUUUGUUCCAGCUGGUUCAUCUCUCAUCCAAUGCAAC